GGAGUCUUAGUUUAAGUAAAAUAUUUAUGUUGCAUAUAAAUGAUGUAGUGUUGCUGCAGGCUCUG
This 65-nucleotide transfer RNA is filed under the name Bungarus fasciatus (banded krait). RNAcentral's name for it is "tRNA-Ala". Lineage: Eukaryota; Metazoa; Chordata; Lepidosauria; Squamata; Elapidae. The record is from RNAcentral.